This 1446-nucleotide ribosomal RNA is filed under the name uncultured marine microorganism. Its description in RNAcentral is "bacterial SSU rRNA". It matches the Rfam family "Bacterial small subunit ribosomal RNA". The record is from RNAcentral.
AGGGUUUGAUUAUGGCUCAGGAUGAACGCUGGCGGCGUGCUUAACACAUGCAAGUCGAACGAACCUUCGGGUUAGUGGCGGACGGGUGAGUAACGCGUGGGAAUCUGCCCUCAGGAGGGGGAUAACGGCUGGAAACGGCCGCUAAUACCCCAUAUGCCGAGAGGUGAAAUGAAUUUCGCCUGAGGAUGAGCCCGCGUCUGAUUAGCUAGUUGGUGAGGUAAGGGCUCACCAAGGCAUCGAUCAGUAGCUGGUCUGAGAGGAUGAUCAGCCACACUGGGACUGAGACACGGCCCAGACUCCUACGGGAGGCAGCAGUGGGGAAUUUUCCGCAAUGGGCGAAAGCCUGACGGAGCAACGCCGCGUGAGGGAUGAAGGCCUCUGGGCUGUAAACCUCUUUUCUCAAGGAAGAAGAUCUGACGGUACUUGAGGAAUAAGCCACGGCUAAUUCCGUGCCAGCAGCCGCGGUAAUACGGGAGUGGCAAGCGUUAUCCGGAAUUAUUGGGCGUAAAGCGUCCGCAGGCGGCCCUUCAAGUCUGCUGUUAAAACGUGGAGCUUAACUCCAUCAUGGCAGUGGAAAUUGUUGGGCUUGAGUGUGGUAGGGGCAGAGGGAAUUCCCGGUGUAGCGGUGAAAUGCGUAGAUAUCGGGAAGAACACCAGUGGCGAAGGCGCUCUGCUGGGCCAUAACUGACGCUCAUGGGCGAAAGCCAGGGGAGCGAAAGGGAUUAGAUACCCCUGUAGUCCUGGCCGUAAACGAUGAACACUAGGUGUCGGGGGAAUCGACCCCCUCGGUGUCGUAGCCAACGCGUUAAGUGUUCCGCCUGGGGAGUACGCACGCAAGUGUGAAACUCAAAGGAAUUGACGGGGGCCCGCACAAGCGGUGGAGUAUGUGGUUUAAUUCGAUGCAACGCGAAGAUCCUUACCAGGGUUUGACAUCUGCGAAUCUCUUGGAAACGAGAGAGUGCCUUCGGGAGCGCAGUGACAGGUGGUGCAUGGCUGUCGUCAGCUCGUGUCGUGAGAUGUUGGGUUAAGUCCCGCAACGAGCGCAACCCACGUCUUUAGUUGCCAGCAUUUAGUUGGGCACUCUAGAGAGACCGCCGGUGAUAAACCGGAGGAAGGUGUGGAUGACGUCAAGUCAUCAUGCCCCUUACAUCCUGGGCUACACACGUACUACAAUGCUACGGACAAAGAGCAGCAAGUUCGCGAGGACAAGCAAAUCUCAUAAACCGUGGCUCAGUUCAGAUCGUAGGCUGCAACUCGCCUACGUGAAGGAGGAAUCGCUAGUAAUCGCAGGUCAGCAUACUGCGGUGAAUACGUUCCCGGGCCUUGUACACACCGCCCGUCACACCAUGGAAGUUGGCCACGCCCGAAGCCGUUACUCCAACCCUUGUGGAGGAGGACGUCGAAGGUGGGGCUGAUGACUGGGGUGAAGUCGUAACAAGGUAGCCA